UACGAAGGGGGCGAGCGUUGUUCGGAAUCACUGGGCGUAAAGGGCGCGUAGGCGGCCCUCUUUGUCGCGUGUGAAAGCCCCGGGCUCAACCUGGGAACGGCGCGCGAAACGGGGGGGCUGGAGUUCGGGAGAGGAGAGUGGAAUUCCUGGUGUAGCGGUGAAAUGCGCAGAUAUCAGGAAGAACACCCGUGGCGAAGGCGGCUCUCUGGGACGGUACUGACGCUGAGACGCGAAAGCGUGGGGAGCGAACAGG
Molecule: ribosomal RNA, 253 nt
Filed under: uncultured bacterium
Lineage: Bacteria
Description: partial 16S ribosomal RNA
Rfam family: Bacterial small subunit ribosomal RNA
Source: RNAcentral